Molecule: transfer RNA, 66 nt
Filed under: Omalium rivulare
Lineage: Eukaryota; Metazoa; Arthropoda; Insecta; Coleoptera; Staphylinidae
Also listed under: 1 other name
Description: tRNA-Ser
Source: RNAcentral
GAAAUAUAUAAUUUUAAAUUAAGCUUCUAACUUAAAUUUAUAGCAGUGAAAUCUGUUAAUAUUUCU